GUGCCCACUUUAACAGCAUAUAUGUAAAAUGGGAAUGGUGCAGAGAUGAGCAUGGCCCCAUGCAAGGAUGACACCCCAAAUUCAUGAAGCCUUCCAUGUUUUU
Molecule: small nuclear RNA, 103 nt
Organism: Nomascus leucogenys (northern white-cheeked gibbon)
Lineage: Eukaryota; Metazoa; Chordata; Mammalia; Primates; Hylobatidae
Source: RefSeq, a predicted model, not a curated record